RNAcentral lists this long non-coding RNA (1337 nucleotides) under Homo sapiens (human). RNAcentral's name for it is "novel transcript". Lineage: Eukaryota; Metazoa; Chordata; Mammalia; Primates; Hominidae. The record is from RNAcentral.
GCAACAUGGAGGAUAGAUUGCAAGUGGAGCCAAGAACAAAAUACAGCUGACUCUGAACAAAUCCUUUUCGUGACUUCUGGAUAAAGGACAACUCAAGCCCCUCGUUCCAGUGGCAGUGGAUUGAUGUGCAGCUUCCUAUGUGAAGGCAGAGCACACGUCUGUCUCUGGAGCUUCCUAGAACACAUGGAGAAGACAGAUACAGAGAAGGCAAUGUGAACACAGAACAGAAAGAGAUGUGGUUACGAGCCAAGGAAUGCUGACAGCCACACACAUUGGAAGAGAUUUCUAACUUGGAAUCACUAAGGACAAAAACUCCUAUAUUCCUGAAGCCCUACAAGCUGGAACUGGACAACUCGAUGUAAAUUUCAGGAGACAACCCCCAUGCCUGAUGUGUGGGCCACUAAGGGAGUUUACCAAAACAUCCAAUGCCAUAACCAGAGACAUUCAAACUAAACCAAGAAAAUGUUUCAAGCUCAAAUCCAGAAAUCUUGUCAACUAACUGCCCUCUGAACUCAGAGACUGAGUUUAUAAUUUGUCCUAAGCCAUUAACCUUUGUUAAUAGCUUUUUUUUGUUUUGUUUAUUUUUUCUGGUUUGGUUCAUGAGGGCAUUUGUUAAGAAGCAUACUCUAAUCCCUUGGUAUAUCCUCCUGAUAGUUCCCAUUGUAAUCUCCCAGCUGCAUUCUCUCAAGGGUUUUGAAGGUGUAUUUGCAGCGAUUAGUGGUAUACUAGGUGGCCUCACUGUGAUUACUGCAACAACUGCAAGAUGACCAAAGGAAUGUGUCUUCCACAAGGCUGACAUUGUGACUUAUGAGUUUCAUGCUAAGACAAAGACAACCCUGCCAUGAUGAUGACUGACAGUAGUGCUGAUGCCAUAAAUUUUUAUCAAAUCCCUCAGUACAGGUUGAGUCUGAUCAAAAGGGGAAAGCUGUUCAGUAAAAUAUGUGGGAGGUCAUUGUUUUGGAUUAAGCUCCUGCACUAGGCCCCAACAGACCAGAUCAAACCAGAAUGGAGUCACUCAUGCCAGAUGCCACAUUGUCAAACUGAAUGUAAAAAUAGGUCACUUGUUCAAAAAAAAAAGGAGAUUCACAGUAACCAAUUGAAAGGGGCCCAGUCAACCUAAGCUCACAUGAUAAGGAAGUCUCCUCUAGUUUAACGUAUGCAAGGAAAGUAGCUUUGAAAUCACCAGUCCACUUUUUGUUUCUUCUUUCUGCUUUCUUCAGUCUUUUCCAUUAUAAAGCCCACACAUCUGCUCAGCUCAGUAGGGCACCUUUCUAUUUCAUAGAUGGAAUGUCACUUGAUUCAUGAAUCAUUAAUAAAAGCCAAUUUGAUGUUUAAAA